RNAcentral lists this ribosomal RNA (378 nucleotides) under uncultured bacterium. Its description in RNAcentral is "bacterial SSU rRNA". It matches the Rfam family "Bacterial small subunit ribosomal RNA", at positions 28 to 400 of the family's 1533-position model. The record is from RNAcentral.
GACGAACGCUGGCGGCGUGCUUAACACAUGCAAGUGGAGCGACGAACCAGGCUUCGGCCUGGGGCAGAGCCGCGAACGGGUGAGUAACACGUGGGUAACCUGCCUCGAUGACCGGGACAACCCGGGGAAACCCGGGCUAAUACCGGAUGCGCUGCCUUCACAUCAGUGGAGACAGGAAAGGGAGCUUCGGCCUCCGCAUCGAGAUGGGCCCGCGGCCCAUUAGCUUGUUGGGAGGUAAUGGCUCACCAAGGCCGCGAUGGGUAGCUGGUCUGAGAGGACGAUCAGCCACACUGGGACUGAGACACGGCCCAGACUCCUACGGGAGGCAGCAGUGGGGAAUCUUGCGCAAUGCGCGAAAGCGUGACGCAGCAACGCCGC